RNAcentral lists this unclassified non-coding RNA (380 nucleotides) under uncultured Pseudobdellovibrionaceae bacterium. RNAcentral's name for it is "uncultured Bdellovibrionaceae bacterium contains 16S-23S intergenic spacer region". The record is from RNAcentral. Lineage: Bacteria; Pseudomonadati; Bdellovibrionota; Bdellovibrionia; Bdellovibrionales; Pseudobdellovibrionaceae.
UCCGGCUUAACGCCGGCAGUCCCUCCAGAGUGCCCAACUUAAUGAUGGCAACAGGAGGCGUGGGUUGCGCUCGUUACGGGACUUAACCCAACAUCUCACGACACGAGCUGACGACAGCCAUGCAGCACCUGUGUUCCAGUCCCCUUGCGGGGAAAACCGACUUUCAUCGGCGAUCCGGACAUGUCAAGACCAGGAUAAGGUUUUUCGCGUUGCGUCGAAUUGAACCACAUGCUCCACUGCUUGUGCGGGUCCCCGUCAAUUUCUUUGAGUUUUAAUCUUGCGACCGUACUCCCCAGGCGGGAUGCUUAACGCGUUAGCUUCGUUACUGAAAGGGUUUACUCUCCCAACAACAAGCAUCCAUCGUUUACGGCGUGGACUAC